GCAUGUCUAAAUCUACUUCCCUAAUAAAGUACUGCUUUAAAAACUCGGGCAGAACUGCACAAACUUUAAUGUAGAACGAAGUCAUCAAACAAUCUGUAGUCAAAUGCCUGCGCAGAAUUCUUUUCUGCCUCAAAGCCUGCAAUUCGAACAGUAGGUGACAGAAGAACCCUGGGACUCCCACACCUCCAGUCUCGGCUGUGCUCUCCGAGAGGACCCGCGGGUCCAGGCACGCACCCGGGGAGAGAAUUUUCUAUAGGUGAAACUUAUUGUGAAAAGAGUCAAGGGACGAGACAGAAAAAAAGAGAGAGAGAGAAAAAGAGACAAAGAUGACUGAGGUUUCAAGCCAGAGUGGCUGGAGUGACUACGAGAAUGGUCAGUGCCAUCUGCACAGCUAGAGAAGUUAAGAAGAGAAACAGGUUUGGUGGGAAGAUGAUUAAUUCCAUUUUGGACAUACUGAAUUUGUGAAUCCCACAGGACAGAAAUAUGGAAAUGUUCAAAGGUGUCCAGCAGCCAGCAGCCCUUUUUUCUGCUUAAGUGAAAAUUCUCUCCUGUAAAUCACAUCCAUUCCCAUGAUGUCAGUUGCCUCCAUCAGCACUGAAAGUCCCCAAAUUUCUUGAAAUCCAGCUUUUAUUGUCAGCUUUCUGCUAGAUAUCUCCAUUUGUUUACUCCACCAGCGUCUCCAAUUUAAGAUGUCAAAAUAAAGCUUAGUUUCUUCCAUAGUUCCUAUCAAGUCUGCCACUUCUCUACUGUUCCCUGCUUGGGAAGUAUCACCACCACAAACAGUCACCAAGAGAAUCACAGGAAGAGACCAUCUCUCUUCCUUUUCUGGAAAUUGUUGGGCCUGAAUGUGACAUCUAGAACUGUCACAACCUUCUUUCUUAUACCCUGAGGAUGGAGCCAACACUGAGGAUGGCAAAGCAGAGAAGAACCUGGAUCUCUGAUGACAUCGCUGAGGACUGUAUCAACCUAUUCUGAAGGAUCUAUUCCAGAACUUUCUGUUUUGGGAUGUUCCAACUGUCCUUAUUGUUGAAGCAACUUUUUGUUGCAGUUUUCUGUUACUUACAGCCAAGAGCAUCCUACUUUUUACACCUGCCCAUCAUUCAGGCCACCCUCCCAUAUCCACCAACAUCUUCUUUCUUGCCCAUCCUUAGGGCCAAAAGACACUGCUGCCACUUACCUUGGCAAAACUUGCAGCUCUUCUACUCAUGUUUCUCUUGCCAUCUCUUUAAAAAAAUGACAGAAAAUGUGUACCCAAACCUGCUGCCCUUAUAUGCAUAAAAAUUGUUCUGCCAUUGAAAGCUUAGCAUUACAAAUUCCUGUAUCUGUGUCUGGAAGGGGCUGUCACAAGACGUGGUAUCCAUCUAAGCAGGUAAUGAGGGGCUGAAAUAACUGAGCUCAGAUCACUCACCUUCUGUGCGUGGCUGAGCUUGUUCUUACAUGAACCUCAUUGGAACUAAAGAAAAACAAGAAACUGGACUGCUCAGAGAGCCAGGCCGAGACUGUUUAACCUGCAAUUCACUGAGGAGCUUGUAAAAAAGAACAGCUAAAAGAUAAAAGAACAGCUCAAGCUGACUUUAUGGAGGACUGAGAAGAGGAUGGGAGAAGGGAAAUGAGUAUUUUUAGAGCACUAAUGUGCCAGGACAGUCCCAGAAAUACAUAGACGAUUAAGUUAAAUGAUAAUAAAAUAAUAGUGGUAUGAUAGUUAA
Cynocephalus volans (Philippine flying lemur) is the source of this 1706-nucleotide long non-coding RNA. RefSeq lists it as uncharacterized. The transcript is spliced from 3 exons. Lineage: Eukaryota; Metazoa; Chordata; Mammalia; Dermoptera; Cynocephalidae. The record is from RefSeq and is a predicted model, not a curated record.